UGCAGUCGACGAUGAACCGGUUUCGGCCGGGGAUUAGUGGCGAACGGGUGAGUAACACGUGGGCAAUCUGCCCUGCACUCUGGGACAAGCCCUGGAAACGGGGUCUAAUACCGGAUAUGACUGCCGACCGCAUGGUCUGGUGGUGGAAAGCUCCGGCGGUGCAGGAUGAGCCCGCGGCCUAUCAGCUUGUUGGUGGGGUGAUGGCCUACCAAGGCGACGACGGGUAGCCGGCCUGAGAGGGCGACCGGCCACACUGGGACUGAGACACGGCCCAGACUCCUACGGGAGGCAGCAGUGGGGAAUAUUGCACAAUGGGCGCAAGCCUGAUGCAGCGACGCCGCGUGAGGGAUGACGGCCUUCGGGUUGUAAACCUCUUUCAGCAGGGAAGAAGCGCAAGUGACGGUACCUGCAGAAGAAGCGCCGGCUAACUACGUGCCAGCAGCCGCGGUAAUACGUAGGGCGCAAGCGUUGUCCGGAAUUAUUGGGCGUAAAGAGCUCGUAGGCGGCUUGUCGCGUCGGAUGUGAAAGCCCGGGGCUUAACUCCGGGUCUGCAUUCGAUACGGGCAGGCUAGAGUUCGGUAGGGGAGAUCGGAAUUCCUGGUGUAGCGGUGAAAUGCGCAGAUAUCAGGAGGAACACCGGUGGCGAAGGCGGAUCUCUGGGCCGAUACUGACGCUGAGGAGCGAAAGCGUG
This 691-nucleotide ribosomal RNA is filed under the name Streptomyces sp. FXJ1.088. RNAcentral describes it as "bacterial SSU rRNA". It matches the Rfam family "Bacterial small subunit ribosomal RNA", at positions 56 to 763 of the family's 1533-position model. The record is from RNAcentral. Lineage: Bacteria; Bacillati; Actinomycetota; Actinomycetes; Kitasatosporales; Streptomycetaceae.